RNAcentral lists this ribosomal RNA (446 nucleotides) under uncultured bacterium. RNAcentral's name for it is "bacterial SSU rRNA". It matches the Rfam family "Bacterial small subunit ribosomal RNA", at positions 330 to 793 of the family's 1533-position model. The record is from RNAcentral.
ACCAGACUCCUACGGGAGGCAGCAGUGGGGGAUAUUGCACAAUGGGGGGAACCCUGAUGCAGCGACGCCGCGUGGGUGAAGAAGCGCCUCGGCGCGUAAAGCCCUGUCAGCAGGGAAGAAAAUGACGGUACCUGAAGAAGAAGCCCCGGCUAACUACGUGCCAGCAGCCGCGGUAAUACGUAGGGGGCAAGCGUUAUCCGGAUUUACUGGGUGUAAAGGGGGCGCAGACGGCGAUGCAAGCCAGGAGUGAAAGCCCGGGGCCCAACCCCGGGACUGCUCUUGGAACUGCGUGGCUGGAGUGCAGGAGGGGCAGGCGGAAUUCCUGGUGUAGCGGUGAAAUGCGUAGAUAUCAGGAGGAACACCGGUGGCGAAGGCGGCCUGCUGGACUGCAACUGGCGUUGAGGCCCGAAAGCGUGGGGAGCAAACAGGAUUAGAUACCCCGGUAA